GAUCAUGGCUCAGGAUGAACGCUGGCGGCGUGCUUAACACAUGCGAGUCGAACGAAGCACCUUAUUCUGAUUUCUUCGGAAUGAAAAAUUUGGUGACUGAGUGGCGGACGGGUGAGUAACGCGUGGGUAACCUGCCUCAUACAGGGGGAUAACAGUUAGAAAUGACUGCUAAUACCGCAUAAGACCACAGAGCCGCAUGGCUCAGUGGGAAAAACUCCGGUGGUAUGAGAUGGACCCG
Molecule: ribosomal RNA, 238 nt
Filed under: uncultured bacterium
Lineage: Bacteria
Description: partial 16S ribosomal RNA
Rfam family: Bacterial small subunit ribosomal RNA
Source: RNAcentral